CUUAUUGAUUUCUAUAGAAAUUCAGUUGUCAAACAACUUCAACAAGUUCAAGGCAAAUAUAACAUAAUAUUUAGUAGCAAAAUAACUAUUUGAGAUGCCAUAUCUGCUGAUAGUCAAUUGAAAACUGACCUCAAAAUCUCAAUGUCAACUGUAAUAGACACAAAUAACGGACAUAUAUUUCAUUCCGCUGCAAGUAUACUUAGAAAAGACAUCGAAACUCUACAGAAGAAUACCCA
Molecule: long non-coding RNA, 236 nt
Filed under: Mytilus galloprovincialis (Mediterranean mussel)
Lineage: Eukaryota; Metazoa; Mollusca; Bivalvia; Mytilida; Mytilidae
Source: RNAcentral